Molecule: ribosomal RNA, 1976 nt
Filed under: human gut metagenome
Description: bacterial LSU rRNA
Rfam family: Bacterial large subunit ribosomal RNA
Source: RNAcentral
GUGAACAAUUAAGGGCGCGCGGUGGAUGCCUAGGCUCUCGGAGGCGAAGAAGGACGCGAUAAGCCGCGAUAGUCCACGGCGAGGUGCAAGUAACCCUUGACCCGUGGGUUUCCGAAUGGGGCAACCCGGCCGUCUAGAUGACGGUCAUGCAUUAUCAUGCAGGCGAACGCGGGGAACUGAAACAUCUCAUUACCCGCAGGAGAAGAAAACAAAAUGUGAUUCCCCCAGUAGUGGCGAGCGAACGGGGAAGAGCCCAAACCGGUAGCGUUUCGGCGAUACCGGGGUCAUGGGACCACGCCAUUCGAAACAAGAUGAAGUGCAAUUACCUGGAAAGGUAAGCCGCGGAGGGUGAUAGCCCCGUGCACGUCAAUUCUUGUGGAGAUAGUGGAAUCCCGAGUAGGGCGGGACACGAGAAAUCCUGCCUGAAUUCGCCAGGACCUCCUGGCAAGGCUAAAUACUCCCGAGAGACCGAUAGUGAACCAGUACCGCGAGGGAAAGGUGAAAAGUACCCCGAGCAGGGGGGUGAAAUAGACCCUGAACCCGCGCGCCUACAAGCGGUCGGAGCCAUGAAAUAUGGUGACGGCGUGCCUUUUGCAUAAUGAGCCUACGAGUUAGUCGUCACCAGCGAGGUUAAGGGCUUCAGGCCCGUUAGCCGAAGUGAAAGCGAGCCUUAACAGGGCGACGAGUUGGUGGCGCUAGACGCGAAACCUUGUGAUCUACCCACGAGCAGGUUGAAGUCGCGGUAACGCGUGAUGGAGGACCGAACCGGUAAACGUUGAAAAGUUUUCGGAUGACUCGCGGGUAGGGGUGAAAGGCCAAUCAAACUGGGAAAUAGCUCGUACUCUCCGAAAUGCAUUUCGGUGCAGCCUGUGAUGUUCUGUUCCAGAGGUAGAGCUACUGGUUGGACGCGAGGGCUUCACCGCCUAUCAAAUCCGGAUAAACUCCGAAUGCUGGAACACGAAAUCAUGGAGUGAGCCCGCGGGUGCUAAGGUCCGCGGACGAGAGGGAAAGAACCCGGACCACCGGCUAAGGUCCCGGAUGGACAGUUAAGUUGAUCAAACGAGGUGGGAUCGCGGAGACAGCUAGGAUGUUGGCUUGGAAGCAGCCAUUCAUUUAAAGAGUGCGUAACAGCUCACUAGUCGAGCGAUCCCGCGUGGAUAAUACACGGGCAUCAAACUGUCAACCGAAGCCGUGGGGUCAGUGUUGAACUGACCGGUAGGAGAGCAUUCCUGCCAGCGUUGAAGGUCACCCGCGAGAGUGACUGGAGCGGCAUGAAAAGCAAAUGUAGGCAUAAGUAACGAUAAUGGGGGCGAGAACCCCCCACGCCGCAAGACCAAGGAUUCCCCGGCAAUGUCAAUCAGCCGGGGGUCAGCCGGCCUCUAAGGCUAACCCGAAGGGGGACGCCGACGAGAAACGGGUUAACAUUCCCGUGCUUCUCGUCACCGUGACGCGGUGACGGGGUGAUGAAUGGACCGCGCGCUGACGGAAUAGCGCGUUGAAGACCGUACCCUUUGACGGUGGUAGUCAAGCACGCCACCGGAGGCGAAAGUCGAUAGUACCUCGAGGCCUCGGCCGAGGGGAUAGCGUCCAGGCAAUUUACCCCCGAGAAAACCCGCUAAACUUCAAGUGACGAGGAACCGUACUGUAAACGGACACACGUGGUCGGGUAGAACAUACCAAGGCGCUCGAGUGAUUCAUGGUCAAGGAACUAGGCAAAAUAGUCCUGUAACCUCGGGAAAAAGGACGCUCUAGUGAUAGAGCCGCAGAGUAAUGGCCCAGGCGACUGUUUACCAAAAACACAUGGCUAUGCCAAAUCGAAAGAUGACGUAUAUGGCCUGACACCUGCCCGGUGCCGGAAGGUUAAGAGGAGAGCUCAGCGGAAACGAGAAGGUUUGAAUUGAAGCCCCGGUAAACGGCGGCCGUAACUAUAACGGUCCUAAGGUAGCGAAAUUCCUUGUCGGGUAAGUUCCGACCUG